AGUUGUGGAUGCAAAUUUCUUCCUCCUCGAUCUUGGACGAUUUUGCACCUACAAAACAAUUAACACCUUAGGUUAAGGCCAAGAGCCUCACGCGCCCACGAUGAAUGGGGGGGCUUUGGCCGAAGAACCUCCGAUGCCAAAGUUAGAAUUUAGAGAGAAGGAGUGUUUAGAGAAUUUUGGGAUUUUUGCCAAAAUGUUGGAAUUAGCUUUUUGGUGAGAAUGGGAGUAUAUUUAUAGGGAUAGGAGGUGGCUAGGGUUUUUAGGUUUAAUUUAGGUUUAAUUAGCCAAUUUAUUAUGAUAAAUUUGCUAAUUAAACAUAAAGGGAAUAAAUGGAUGGUUAUAGAAUCAAUUAGCUAGCUUAAUUGGGGUAAUUAAGUGGGAAAAGAUAGGGAAGGUAGAAAGCUUAAGGGGAUGGCCGGCCAUGUGAUGUUUUAGGGUUGAAUUGGUUGUAUUUUGUGGUUAUUUGGAUAUAAUGGAUGGUUUAAUUGAGAAUUAAUGGGUUAAUUAGGCAAUAAACCCAUUAAUUAGCCAAUUAACAUAAUUUAAAAUGAAUGUGUUUGGGAAUUACCUUGUAGAAAGGAUUUGAUGAGAUGGACUUUGAAUUGUUACCUAUUUUGGGCACUUCUGUCUUGGUUGAAAGAGGGUUGCCCGCUGCUUGCGCGUAGGAACCUCGUUGUACUGCAAGGGUAUUUUUUUCCUUUUUGUCCAAAAAACCCACGUGUCGCCUUGUUAAUAUUUUUGGCUCCACAAAUGCCCCCACACCUGUUGGGCUGCUCGCAGAAAAGGGCGGCAGGUGUAGAGAUUUUCUUGCUUUAGGAAACUUAGGAUUGCUUCCUAUUUUGAUGUAGAUUCUCUCUUUAAUAGGAAAUUAGAUCCUUCUAGGAAAGGGAAAUAAAUUUCUCUCAAAGCCUAUUUAAGUCCACCUUAAGUGGGUUAUUAAAUCAACUUUGGAGAGCGAUUUAUUCUACCCUACAAGAAAGAGAUAGCUUAGAGGAUAUUUGUUCCCCCUCCUCUAGCAAUCUUCUACAUCUUGCCCGUGCAAAGGACCGUCUUUCGUUGCUUUCUUCGUCUUCUUCGUGCCGCACCAAUGUAAGAAAAAUUUAAUUUUUCUUGCCUUAUUCUUGGAUAGUGCUAUUGCGGGGAAGCCGUCGGGGCGGUGCGGCACGUCGGCUGGCAGGGGCCAGGAGCUGGCUCGGCAUGAGCUGAGGAGAUGUCGUGGCAGGGACCACUGCUUGGGCAGCUUGGCUUGGCUUGAGCCAGGGGCAGCUUGUGCAGCUGGGGUCGAGGAUUGUGGCGCUAGGGCACAGUGUUAGGCGAGCCGCAUAGCUCAUGUCCUUUGGGCUCUUGGACCUGACUCGGGCCAGGCUGGCGAUUGAGAGAAAUAAGGAGAUUGCGUGUCUCAUGGGCUGCUGGAAUGUUGGGGAUGUAGGCCUUCUGCCUGCUGGAAUGCUGGGUUGAGCUCCCCUGCUGAGUACCAUGAAUGUCGUUGGCUGCUUAGUCUUCUUUGCUGAAAGAAAGGUGGGCUGCUCCAGAAAGAUGAGGUAAAGAGGAUUAAGACGGAUGCAUUGGCUCGUCUGAUCGCUGUCGUGGAACUUACUAUGAAUGAAGAUGGAAAGAAGAGAUCUUCCCCGCCUGCUCAUGAAAUGCCUAGUUAAGAAAAAACUGAAGACUUUUUCUGUUGCUCAUGAGGGUCCGCUUGCUACCGAGAGGUAUGUGAUUGACAUGACUUCUUCUAAUGGGAAGAAAAAUAAGGCUGCUAGAUCUGAGCAUGUGGCGUCUUCCAUGUUGAGAAUGGCUAGUACAAUUGUGGAUAAGAUUGCUCAGUGUAAAGGUUUUAUCAUGCCCCCAGUGCCGAAGUCUGUACCAGGACAUUCUUUGGGAGCCAAGUCCGGUUCACCUUUGUAGAGACUUGCUAUUAUGAAGAGUGGUAAGGUGGACUCUGCUGCUAAAGUGGCGCCAAAGCCUGCUCCCUUUGCUGCUGAGAUUGAUUCGCCUCAGAUUCAAGAUCUUAAGCUUGCAAUUUCUGAGCUUCGUUUCGCUGCUUAUGCUAAGAAGGGAGUGGAUGAGCUACAGCGCGUCUGUGUUAGUCUGCUUAAGAAGAAUGAGCAGCUGAAGGGUGAGAAUGAUGGGCUUGAGGUUUUAAGACCUUCUCUAUUUCUCCGAAAGACUUGCUUGCUUUUACUUUUAAGGCUUCCAUUGGUGAAGUAGUUGCCCAGACUGGGGCAGCCGGGGGUGAAGCGCCAGAUGAUGCCGUUUGCUAAGAGUGUUACGGCUGUUGAAGGUGUGGCGACCGAGUAGUCGUGGGAUGUCCAAGCUGCUGUAGUGUAGUAUUUUAAGUAGCCUUUAGGAUUUUCUUUGUUUUUCCUUGUAGCUCUUGUUUUGCUUGAACUCCUUCGGCCUUUGCUAGUUGUUUAUAAACAUGUUUUCCUUCGUUUUUCUUCAUCUUCACUUCUUUUGUUCAUGCCCUAACCUUUAGACUUGAUAGACCAGUGGCAGGCAUGCUACUUUUUUAUAAGCAGACAAGCUCGCGUAGCCUAUGCAGCCAUAGGUGUUGGUGUAGAACUUUGCAAAGUUGUUAGCCAUAGGGUUGGCAGCCGGAUGCCUUACUUACAGAAGAAGACAAGUCCGCGUAACCACUAGGCUGUUAACCUUGACUUUCUUCAAUUCCGUAGGUUGCGUAGCAAGUAUCACAACACUUUAGGACUUGGUGUAGGUUGUUCCGCGCUUGGCAGAGGUGAAGCUUAUCGACUACGUAGCAUGUCGGCAGUGGAUAAAACUUCGUAUAUGCGCGCUAGCUUGUUUAACCUUUCACAAGAAUGUGCGGUUGUAUAAGUCUAGCGCGGCUUUACUGCUCGAAGGGCAAGCCGUAGGUAGUCUUCCGGAAUUCGUAGGCUACCUUAGUGCACUCGGUAACAGCUUUAGGAUUCCAGGGCAGCCGUCCAUCGGAUGUACUGCGUAAUGUGCCCUUUCCGUCUCUAGGGCCCGGUUCCCCACGGAUUAGGCCAAGAGACCCAAAAUCCUUCAGUUAGCUAAGCCUUGAAAAAGACCAUUGCGGCUACUUCUAGGAAUCCCGGCGUAAGCCAUCGUGCAUCUAGUUAUACUAGGGCAGCCAGGCUCAUCCAUGUCUGGAUAUUCGGAGUGUAAAGUUUAUCCUCCUGUCUUGGAGAGCUGACCCAUAUGGGUGUCGGGGAAUUGGUUUACCCUCUCGCACUGGAGAGCAAUUAGUUUACCCUCUCGCACUGGAGAGCAUGGUUGGUCCCUCGGGGGGCGCAAUUCCUGCGAUGGGUCCCUAAGAAGGGCACAGUCUUCUUUUGAAGUGCUGGAGUGAUCACUUGUUGUAAGCAUGCAGCCGAGCCAAGUUGUGAUUACUUCUGAAUUCCUCAUUGAAAAACGAGUGAAACGAACGAGAACUUAGCUGUAAGGUAGGAACUGCAUAACAACUGGAUAGUCCUCGACUUGUGAGGUGGUGCCCGUCGAGCUUCUUAAGUCUUCGGGCUUUGAUGUAGUCGGAGGUCACACAUGGUACUUCUUCAGAUUGUAGGCGCUCCACUACUUUUCGAUCUUUUUAUCGUUUCAUGGUAGCGGGGGUAUAAUUACUCUUACCGCCUAUUCUGCUGAGCUUGUACGGACCUUCCCAGAUGAGAUCCAUCUUUUUGGAUGUUUCGGCCUGCCUAUUGCCUUGAGGAUAUCUCGGCAUGGACAUAUGCUGCUUGAUGCCAUAUUUUUUUAAGAACUUCGCCAAAUCUUUGCCCACGAAUUGCAGGCCGUUGUUGGUGACGAUGGAUUAAGGGAUGCCAAAUCGGUAAAUGAUGUUCCUCCAUAUGAAGCGCUCUAUGUCCGUCUGAAUCGUGGUCGUCAUGGGCUCUGCUUCCACCUAUUUGGUGAAGUAGUCGGUUGCCACGAACCACGGCUGCUCGCAAGCCUUUGUAGUUGGAUGCAUCGUUGACAUGCGAAUGCCAAAAAUCUCCAUUAAGGGAAUAUGUGCAGCUAAAGUCUGCUCGACUGCCUUCGGGGCAUCGUUGGGCCGAGUUGUUGCGUUCGUCAGAAAACUUUGCAUCUGCCAGGGUCUACGCCUUUAUCGUUGCCGGUUUGGAUUCGGCGAAAUAGUGCGUCAUGAUGAUGACUGCAGGUAACUGUAGAAUACAGGUAGUCGGGCCCCCAACUCUUCUCGCAUGAUGGUAGAGCUUAUUGCUACUUUAGAUACCGUCAAACAUGCGAAUAAGUCCUUCGCUGCUUCUAGGGAGGUGAUGUCGGGUACUUCUUCAAGUCCUUGAAUGUGCAUUGGCGAGCCUCAUCCCAAAGUGCAUGCUUCUCUGCUAAAGCAAAAGAGUCUGCCAGAGUUAGAUCUUCUUUCAUGAUCAAUUUUUCGAAUAGCGGGUGGUCUGCUGGAAGUCCUUUUUGGAAGGCUGCUCUAGCUAUCGAGUCGUUGCAUCUGACUAUUUUUGCCUUCUCUACUUUGAACUUCCUCACAUAGUCGCGAAGCGACUCCUUUGGGUUCUUCUUGACGUCAAACAAAUGGUCAGACUUAUUUUUGAUCGAGCGAUAGGAUGAAUAUUCUUUGGUGAAAACCAAAGAAAGUUCGUAGAAAUUCCGGAUGGAUUAUGGCGGCAGGGUGUAGAACCAAUCUUGCGCCUCGCCUUGUAGAGUGGUGGCGAAUAUCUUGCACAUGAGAUCAUUGUUGUUUCGAUAAAGGAUCAUUGCACUUUGGUAACGUUUUAAGUGUCUCUCCGGGUCUUCAUCCCCUUUGAAAUAUGUGAAAUGUGGCAUGCUGAACUCGCGUGGAGGCUCUGCCUGCUCAAUCUCCUCCGUGAAGGGUGACCUUCUUAUGUUGGUUAUGUUCCGUCGUAGUGCCUCAUCGGUGACCUUGUUGCGUUGGAAAUCAUGCAAUCGCUUGGUCAAGAGUCUCUCUACUUCUUCCUGAAUUUGCCUUUGUUGGGGUAGCGAAGCUCUCGGCUGCCCCCAGUCAUGACUUGCUGGUCUAGGCUGCUCUUCCAUGUGUUUGGCUCGUCUAUGUCGCGGAUGCAGUGCAUGUGAUGCGUUCCUAGUAGGCGAAUAGACACUUUGCCCGGAAGGUUGUUCAUGUUGACUAUCGGAGUAUAACCCCAACUGUGAAUGUAUGCUCCUCCGUGGGCCUAGUCGAGAGUGCAUGCUCCUUCGCGCUCUAAGACGGGAAUGUACACUGCCCAAAUGUUCGGCUCGUGGCUGGUUGCCGGGACGCUGCUGGAAAUGUCCGUCUGCCCUUGUCCUACUUCGGGAUACCUCGUCCAGGGCACGUUAGAUCCCAAUGUGUUGCAAAAGUUGAUUCACCAAGGUUGUCUGUUGUGCAAGGGCGCUCGUCAACUCUAUGACUUGUCGAGACAAGUGUUGUUCGCCAUUUGGAUUGGAAGAGCUUGGAAGGAAUGCGCCUCCUUGGGCAGUGAAAGGGUGGUAGACUUCGGGCGCGAGAUUUGAGUUGGGAAAUGUCAAACCCGUGAAAAAAUGUGGUGAGAAUGCCCCCGGUUCAAUGGUAGGUCCGGAUGGUUGAGAUAGUCUUGGGCCGACUUGGGCUGCUUGGAAAGCCACUGGAGCAGGAUAGGCAGUGAGAGUGGGCUGCUCGUCGGGAGCAGGCUGGGUCAUGAAAGCAGGCUGCUUGGCAGGAGCAGGCUGGGCCACGGGAAUGGGCUGCUCGACGGAAGCAGGUUAGGCCACGGGAGUCGGCUGCUUGACAGAAGCAAGUUGGGUCACGAGAACAGGCUGCUUGGCAGGAGCAGGCUGGGCCACGGGAGUGGGCUGCUUGAUGGAAGCAGGCUGGACCACGGGAAUGGGCUGCUCGUCGAGAGCAGGCUGGGUCACGAGAGCAAGCUGCUUGGCAGGAGCAGGCUGGGCCGCGAGAGCAAGUUGCUUGGCGGGAGCAGGCUGGGCCACGGGAUUGGGCUGCUCGACGGAAGCAGGCUGGACCACGAGAGUGGGCUGCUCGUCGGGAGCAGGCUGGACCACGAAAGUGGGCUGCUCGUCGGGAAUAGGCUGGGUCACGAGAGCAGGCUGGGCCACGGGAGUGGGCUGCUCAACAAAAGCAGGCUGCUCAAUGCGCGGUGCAUGUGAAUGCGAGGCUUGGGCUUGGGUCCACGUAAACUUGGAUGGCACGGCUUGGGUCGUGGUCUUGGUACCGUGAGCCUUGGAUGGCACGGCUCGGGCCGUGGUGAAAGCUCCAUGGACCUCGCCACGAAUGGCUACCGAAGUAGCCACCGCGAUGGUUCCCAUGGUGGCCGUGGUGAAUGCACUAUGGACCUCGCUGUGGGUGGCUACCGAGGUAGCCACCGCGGUGGUUCCCAUGGUGGAAACUCGUGGUGGUGAUGCCGCUCCCCUUAUUGUCGCAUUUUGCCUCAUGGAUCUUCGCAAUCCCAUUUCUUGUAUAUUAGAAUUUUCAUUUGUGGAAUUUUCUAAAUUUCUAGCCAUUAUAUUUUGCUUAUACGUUUUAUUAAAGAACCUUUGCAAGUAAAAAAUUCUAAUAAUAAGAACGUAUGAAAAAUAUUCAAAUGGACUAAAAAAUAAAGAAAAAACCUUUUUGUGCGAGAGUCUUCUACGAGUAUGGAUUUCAACUCUCAAUGAAAGCACCAAUUUGUGGAUGCAAAUUUCUUCCUCCUCGAUCUUGGACGAUUUUGCACCUACAAAACAAUUAACACCUUAGGUUAAGGCCAAGAGCCUCACGCGCCCACGAUGAAUGGGGGGGGCUUUGGCCGAAGAACCUCCGAUGCCAAAGUUAGAAUUUAGAGAGAAAGAGUGUUUAGAGAAUUUUGGGAUUUUUGCCAAAAUGUUGGAAU
This 6800-nucleotide long non-coding RNA is filed under the name Malus domestica (apple). RNAcentral's name for it is "long non-coding RNA (MDOM_LNC002233)". The record is from RNAcentral. Lineage: Eukaryota; Viridiplantae; Streptophyta; Magnoliopsida; Rosales; Rosaceae.